GCGCGCGUAGCUCAGUGGUAGAGCAUUCCUCUGAUAAGGGAAAGGCCGAAGGUUCGAUCCCUUCCGCGCGCACCU
RNAcentral lists this transfer RNA (75 nucleotides) under Candidatus Kaiserbacteria bacterium RIFCSPHIGHO2_01_FULL_54_36b. Its description in RNAcentral is "tRNA-Ile". It matches the Rfam family "tRNA". Rfam says of the family: Transfer RNA (tRNA) molecules are approximately 80 nucleotides in length. RNAcentral also lists the same sequence under 1 other name. The record is from RNAcentral. Lineage: Bacteria; Candidatus Kaiseribacteriota.